RNAcentral lists this ribosomal RNA (168 nucleotides) under Listeria monocytogenes. RNAcentral describes it as "partial 16S ribosomal RNA". It matches the Rfam family "Bacterial small subunit ribosomal RNA", at positions 1 to 161 of the family's 1533-position model. The record is from RNAcentral. Lineage: Bacteria; Bacillati; Bacillota; Bacilli; Caryophanales; Listeriaceae.
UAUUUUAAAGAGAGUUUGAUCCUGGCUCAGGACGAACGCUGGCGGCGUGCCUAAUACAUGCAAGUCGAACGAACGGAGGAAGAGCUUGCUCUUCCAAAGUUAGUGGCGGACGGGUGAGUAACACGUGGGCAACCUGCCUGUAAGUUGGGGAUAACUCCGGGAACCGGG